This 1126-nucleotide ribosomal RNA is filed under the name Enterobacter sp. c101(2012). Its description in RNAcentral is "bacterial SSU rRNA". It matches the Rfam family "Bacterial small subunit ribosomal RNA", at positions 56 to 1172 of the family's 1533-position model. The record is from RNAcentral. Lineage: Bacteria; Pseudomonadati; Pseudomonadota; Gammaproteobacteria; Enterobacterales; Enterobacteriaceae.
UGCAAGUCGAACGGUAACAGGAAGCAGCUUGCUGCUUUGCUGACGAGUGGCGGACGGGUGAGUAAUGUCUGGGAAACUGCCUGAUGGAGGGGGAUAACUACUGGAAACGGUAGCUAAUACCGCAUAACGUCGCAAGACCAAAGAGGGGGACCUUCGGGCCUCUUGCCAUCGGAUGUGCCCAGAUGGGAUUAGCUAGUAGGUGGGGUAACGGCUCACCUAGGCGACGAUCCCUAGCUGGUCUGAGAGGAUGACCAGCCACACUGGAACUGAGACACGGUCCAGACUCCUACGGGAGGCAGCAGUGGGGAAUAUUGCACAAUGGGCGCAAGCCUGAUGCAGCCAUGCCGCGUGUAUGAAGAAGGCCUUCGGGUUGUAAAGUACUUUCAGCGGGGAGGAAGGCGAUAAGGUUAAUAACCUUGUCGAUUGACGUUACCCGCAGAAGAAGCACCGGCUAACUCCGUGCCAGCAGCCGCGGUAAUACGGAGGGUGCAAGCGUUAAUCGGAAUUACUGGGCGUAAAGCGCACGCAGGCGGUCUGUCAAGUCGGAUGUGAAAUCCCCGGGCUCAACCUGGGAACUGCAUUCGAAACUGGCAGGCUAGAGUCUUGUAGAGGGGGGUAGAAUUCCAGGUGUAGCGGUGAAAUGCGUAGAGAUCUGGAGGAAUACCGGUGGCGAAGGCGGCCCCCUGGACAAAGACUGACGCUCAGGUGCGAAAGCGUGGGGAGCAAACAGGAUUAGAUACCCUGGUAGUCCACGCCGUAAACGAUGUCGACUUGGAGGUUGUGCCCUUGAGGCGUGGCUUCCGGAGCUAACGCGUUAAGUCGACCGCCUGGGGAGUACGGCCGCAAGGUUAAAACUCAAAUGAAUUGACGGGGGCCCGCACAAGCGGUGGAGCAUGUGGUUUAAUUCGAUGCAACGCGAAGAACCUUACCUACUCUUGACAUCCAGAGAACUUACCAGAGAUGCUUUGGUGCCUUCGGGAACUCUGAGACAGGUGCUGCAUGGCUGUCGUCAGCUCGUGUUGUGAAAUGUUGGGUUAAGUCCCGCAACGAGCGCAACCCUUAUCCUUUGUUGCCAGCGGUUAGGCCGGGAACUCAAAGGAGACUGCCAGUGAUAAACUGGAGGAAG